This 380-nucleotide ribosomal RNA is filed under the name uncultured bacterium. RNAcentral describes it as "bacterial SSU rRNA". It matches the Rfam family "Bacterial small subunit ribosomal RNA", at positions 29 to 400 of the family's 1533-position model. The record is from RNAcentral.
AAUGAACGCUGGCGGCGCGCCUAAUACAUGCAAGUCGAGCGAGAAGACGUAGCAAUACGUUUGUAAAGCGGCGAACGGGUGAGGAAUACAUGGGUAACCUACCCUCGAGUGGGGAAUAACUAGCCGAAAGGUUAGCUAAUACCGCGUACGCUUCUUGGACUUCGGUUCAGGGAGGAAAGCGAUGCCGAGGGUAUCGCGCUCUUGGAUGGGCUCAUGUCCUAUCAGCUGUUGGUGAGGUAACGGCUCACCAAGGCUUCGACGGGUAGCUGGUCUGAGAGGACGAUCAGCCACACUGGCACUGCGACACGGGCCAGACUCCUACGGGAGGCAGCAGUAAGGAAUAUUGCGCAAUGGGCGAAAGCCUGACGCAGCGACGCCGC